CCUACGGGUGGCAGCAGUGAGGAAUAUUGGUCAAUGGCCGGAAGGCUGAACCAGCCAAGCCGCGUGAAGGACGAAGGUGCCAAGCAUUGUAAACUUCUUUUGUCCAGGGACAAAAUCAGGCUCGAGAGCCUGUCCGCGGGUACUUGAAGAAAAAGCAUCGGCUAAUUCCGUGCCAGCAGCCGCGGUAAUACGGAGGCUGCGAGCGUUAUCCGGCUUUAUUGGGUUUAAAGGGUGCGUAGGCGGCCUGUUAAGCCAGCGGUAAAAGACCGGGGCUAAACCCCGGCGAGCCGUUGAAACGGGCGGUCUUGAGAUGUCGAGAGGUAUGCGGAAUGCGCAGUGUAGCGGUGAAAUGCUUAGAUAUUGCGCAGAACUCCGAUUGCGAAGGCAGCAUACCGGCGGCGAUCUGACGCUGAGGCACGAAAGCGUGGGUAUCGAACAGGAUUAGAUACCCGUGUAGUC
This 459-nucleotide ribosomal RNA is filed under the name uncultured bacterium. RNAcentral describes it as "partial 16S ribosomal RNA". It matches the Rfam family "Bacterial small subunit ribosomal RNA", at positions 338 to 795 of the family's 1533-position model. The record is from RNAcentral.